AGCAGCCGCGGUAAUUCCAGCUCCAAUAGCGUACAUUAAAGUUGUUGCAGUUAAAAAGCUCGUAGUUGAAUUUCGGGGUUAGUAGGUUGGUCAUGCCUCUGGUAUGUACUGGUCUCACUGAUUCCUCCUUCCUGAUGAACCGUAAUGCCAUUAAUUUGGUGUUGCGGGGAAUUUGGACUGUUACUUUGAAAAAAUUAGAGUGUUUAAAGUAAGCUAACGCUUGAAUACAUUAGCAUGGAAUAAUGAAAUAGGACGCUCGAUCCUAUUUUGUUGGUUUCUAGGAUUGACGUAAUGAUUAAUAGGGAUAGUUGGGGGCAUUAGUAUUCAAUUGUCAGAGGUGAAAUUCUUGGAUUUAUUGAAGACUAACUACUGCGAAAGCAUUUGCCAAGGAUGUUUUCAUUAAUCAAGAACGAAAGUUAGGGGAUCGAAGACGAUCAGAUACCGUCGUAGUCUUAACCAUAAACUAUGCCGACUAGGGAUCGGAUGAUGUUAAUUUUUAAUGACUCAUUCGGCGCCUUAA
This 520-nucleotide ribosomal RNA is filed under the name uncultured Glomus. RNAcentral describes it as "SSU rRNA". It matches the Rfam family "Eukaryotic small subunit ribosomal RNA", at positions 569 to 1091 of the family's 1831-position model. The record is from RNAcentral. Lineage: Eukaryota; Fungi; Glomeromycota; Glomeromycetes; Glomerales; Glomeraceae.